Molecule: long non-coding RNA, 735 nt
Organism: Pygocentrus nattereri (red-bellied piranha)
Lineage: Eukaryota; Metazoa; Chordata; Actinopteri; Characiformes; Serrasalmidae
Exons: 2
Source: RefSeq, a predicted model, not a curated record
ACACGGAUUUUAACCUCCAGCACUUCCCUCUCUGUUUCAGCCUUAUAUAAACACUCUGUGUGAGUCUUUGUUAGGCAUGUUUUGUGUUUGAUUCGACCUGUUCUGCCUCUUUCACUUCAACCGGAAACUCUUGCAGACACGAAGGUCCUUGUUGGAUACAGCAGGAAAUGGGCAGCGCACGAUCAAGAUCAAACACACAUGUGGCCAAUGCAACAGAUAAGCACUUGAGAAUUUACUAUCAGACAUCAAAGAUGGUACUUGAAGAUCUUGUGGUCCACGCAGAGGCAGGGGAGGCUUAUUCGAGCGUAAGCUUCUCAGCAGAGGGAAAUGUCAGCUCCACAAUGGUUUUUAAACCUGACUCACAAGUGCACUACAUCCCUCUUCCUCCUAAAGAAUACAUUAACAUUGCAGGGGAAGGGGAGCUGUUUGCCAGCGUACUUGUGGAAGAUAGAAAAACAAACACCUGCCUCAAGUGCAUCUGCCUUAACUUCCAUGUUCCCUGUGACCGAUCCUUCAUUGUGACGGCCAGUGAAAACAUCAAGCUCCAAAAGUACGGUGCAUCAGUCUGGGUUGAUGAAAGUGGUCAGAACCAUCUCAGAAAUGAAUAAUCAGUCGUUUUUGAUAAGUGUACAUCUUUCAUGUGAUUUCUAUUCCAUUUCAUUGUGUGCGGUGGGAAUGGACAACAGCCACUGCUUAAAAUGUGCUUCAUGAAUAAAAAUUGAUUUGAUGACUAAA